RNAcentral lists this long non-coding RNA (257 nucleotides) under Fukomys damarensis (Damara mole-rat). RNAcentral describes it as "lncRNA (ENSFDAG00000026088.1)". Lineage: Eukaryota; Metazoa; Chordata; Mammalia; Rodentia; Bathyergidae. The record is from RNAcentral.
GUUUCUGGCUGAUUUAGCUCCACCUUGGGAAGAAACUUUUCACCCAGUACCUAGCCAGGUGCACAGCUUGGGCUGUGAAGCCUCUUUCAUCCAGGAAGUGGCCAAGUAGCAAUCUUAGUUCUUCUUUCUGGAGAGGACCAGCACGAACGUGUGCCUUUGUGUUCAUGUAGAAGACAUUGGGACGAGGAAGCAUUCAAUACACUUCAGUGUGAAAAGCGUCCUCCCUGGCCUGAACAAAGAAUUGUUCAAGACAAGCA